RNAcentral lists this long non-coding RNA (3339 nucleotides) under Homo sapiens (human). RNAcentral's name for it is "HSALNT0330395". The record is from RNAcentral. Lineage: Eukaryota; Metazoa; Chordata; Mammalia; Primates; Hominidae.
CAGAGCAAAAACUUCAUCUCAAAAAAAAAAAAAAAAAAAAGAUGUAGGAAGCAAGUGAGGUAUGGCUUUGCAGAAUAAGGAUUUUAAAUGGAUUGGUGGUAUAAGCGGGCAAAAAAUAUUCCUGUGAUGGUUAAUUUUAUUUUUCAACUUGACUAAACCACAGGUACCCAUACAUUUGGUCAAACAUUAUUCUAGGUGUGUCUGUGAGGGUGUUUCUGGAUGAGAUUAACAUUUGAAUCUGAAGAAUAAAACAGGUUCCUCCUUAAUGCGAGUGAGUUUCAUCUAAUCUAUUGAUAACCUGUAUAGAACAAAAAACUGAGCAAGAGAUAACGUUGCCUGCCUGCCUGCCUACUUGAGACAUUAGUCUUCUGCCUUCAGAUUGGAAUUUAUAUUAAUACCAUCUACUCCUUGGUUCUCAGUCCUUCUGACAUGAACUGGAACAACACCAUCAGCUCUCCCGGAUCUCCAGCUUGCAGACAGCAGAUCAUGGGACUUUUCAGCUUCUGUAAUUGUGAGGUGGUUGAGAACCAUUGACGUAGACUGACUUAGCAGAUCUUCAAAUGUGAAUAGGGAAUCCUGCCAUUCCACUGAUGAGAACAGCAUGCUUAGGAUAUUGCUUCUGAGAAGAGAGGCAUCCUGUUGUAUGUAGUGGCCACAUAACAGACUGCAAAGAACUGGAACGCAGAGUAAUUUUAAUCCAAAAUGUUCAAAGGUAAGUGGCUAAAAAUAGUCCAUUCUUCUUCCAUGCUAAAACUUUAACAACUAUGAGAGAGGAAAAGCUUGACAGAUUCUCUGUAGAAUUUGUCAACUACUUUUGCCAGAGGUCAAAACUGAUCAUAAAUACUGUGCCUUAGUAGCCUAACAUGGCUUCUGAACUGUGAAUAGAAGCUGGGAUUUUGUAGCAAAUGGUGUUCCUCAGAACUCGAGGUUUCCAAGGUGACUGCAUAUGAAACUACAAACAUCACAAUAGCAGUUUCCAGAGGGACUCUCUUUAUGGUCCUCCCCAUACCCUCCAUCCCCAAACUAUUACAUUCUUUACACUGUGAUUCUUUCUAAAGUGAGAUAGAAACUAAAUAAUUGAUUUGAAUAUCAAAGAAAAGAUGUACAUUUCCAUCUUCUCAAUUUUCAUUAGAGUACUGAUUUUUCAAGUCUUCCCAAUAAGACCUAAUGCUCUCAGAACAUCUAAUGACCCAUGCAACUAACUUGACUCCAUGUGUAACAGACAGCUAGGCUGUUGAUUAUUUUAAUUAGCAAUUAAAAGUAAUACAUUCACAAAUGUUAUUUGGAUUUUUCAUUUAAAUGAAAUCUCUAGCUUUGAUCAGGAUUGAAAAUCGGUUCAGCCUAUGGGGCAGUGCAUCAUAGAAGGAGCUCUGGAUUAGGAGGAGAUGCCUGUCAUUGAGUUAGCCACUAACUCGCGAUGGGGACCCAUUCUCCUGUAUACAAUGAGAGGGUUGGACUAGCAAUUGAAAGGGUCCAUCUCUCAGCCCUGAAACACACUUCAUGUUUCUUAGCAGCAAAUAGAUUCUGGAAGAUUAAUAGUCAAUGUAAGUAUACUGCCUGCCAUAUGAUUAUAAUGUAAGAGAUCUCCUGCACUGAGUCAAGUGGUCACCCUGUGCUCUCUUCAUCCCCCAUGCUAGCCUUCAGUAGACAUCCUCAAGAGUAUUCUGUGUCCACUUACUGAUAUAUUGUACAGGAAUCCCUCUCUGUGGGGAGCAAAGUAGGUGAUCCACAUAGCUCUAGGAAGGCUGAAAACAAUAUUAGUGUCUUAUAUGUAAAUAACUAUACCUCACUCAAGCUUAAUUUUUUAAAAGCCACUUACUAAAAUUUAUACCUAAAAAUUAUUGCAUACUUACUAUACAGUAGGCAAUGUGCUAAAUAAAACAUUGUAGGAAGAAGUCACAUUAAUAUUAUUAUCCCCACCUUACAGUUAGUUGGGGGAAGUUAAGCCUAAGGUAACUCAGCUAGCAGCAGAGUAGAUGUUCCCACUGCAACUCUAUCACUAGAACCCAUGCUUUUAAAUGUUACCUGAAAACUGCCACUAUUUACUGGAAUGAACAAAUGCUACAGUAAUAGACUGAGUUUUAGGGCUCUGGGAAAAAGUACAUUGUAAUCAGCUAAAAUUGAGGAAGUACUUAAUUUGUGUCAAGAGACUCUGGGUGAUGUGAAUGUAUACAUUUAAAAUAAUAUAUAUCAUUUUAAAUGGUUAUCUAUUGGAUACAAAUUGAAAAACUUCUAUCUUUGGUCCAGCCAUUAAAUAAAUAUUUUGGUUAGUAACUAGCUUACCUACUUUGCAAUUUUAUAUUACCCAUUUCAGGAUCCUCUGUUAGUGAAAAUGGUAACAUGAGAAGCCUGAAAUGGUAUUUAAAAGCGAUAUGGAGGUCGUUCUGGUGUUGGUCUCAGUAGGGUUAGCUGGGGGAUUAUGUGAAAGCUGAGGGCUGAACAAGUCAGAAGGCAUAUUUGGAAAGUGAUUAAAGUGAUUACAUUCAAUAAUAAUAAUCACUAUGUAGUGAACACCAACGAUGCUUUCAGACUUUCAUAUGGUCCCGCGAGUUCUCAAUACAUCCUAUGCAGUAUGUGGUAGAAUCCCUAUUGAACAGAUGAGGCUCAGUAAGGUGGAAUGACUUGCCCAAGUCCACCCUGUCAUUCACUUGGAGAUGGGGCUCAGGUAACCAGGACUAUCUGGCUUCAAAGUAGCCUUCUUAAAACUUUCCAUUGAAUUGCCAGCUCUCAUAGAGGAUUAGUGCAUUCCUCUGGGGGUCUGGGACACAGACACACAGACUCACUAAAAGGUAAGUGUUUUUUAUGGAAAUCUCUUCUGUUCAGCUUCAAAAGUUAUACAAAUUUGGUGUUGUACCAUAUACAAUAUCCCUAUUUAAUGAAAAAUAAUAGUUUAUCAUUUGUGAGUUAUUUGAUUUGUAUCCAAAUCUUUGGGUAAAAUAUUCUCCAGGAAGAUGUGUCAAGUUUAUCCUAUGGCUUUCUGUGCUCUAAUUCAGGAUGAACAAAACUGCAAUAAAGCAGAGUAAGUAAACACAAAGAGUGGCCAAGAUGGCCAACUAAAAGCAGAUAGGAUGCGUGGCUCUCACAGAGAGGAAAGGAAGGAAGGGGCAAGUAAAUACAGCACUGCCAACUGACACAUCCAGACAGUCAACACUGGGACUAAUCAAGGAAACAACUCGACCCACAGAGAAUGGAGAAGAGCAAGGCAGGACGACGGCCCAUCUGGGAGCAGAAUGUGGAGCCAAGGGAACCUCCCUUGCCAAGAGAUGAAUGAAAUGAUAGGAUAGAAGCCUGGCGGAUAUCUGGACAGAACUAUGCAAGAGCCUUCCUGAGAAUGGAAGC